CUGCCCUGUGCCUCGCUCAGCUUGGUAUUUAUUACCAGGCUUUGAGCUGGAUACUGAUUUCAAUUGAUCUCAGUAAUGGGCUAGAAUAGAACACCUGUUGAGUACGCCUCAAGAUUCAGUGACUGAUGGCGUAAUUAGAUGGUGAUACAUUC
Molecule: small nucleolar RNA, 152 nt
Filed under: Blastobotrys adeninivorans
Lineage: Eukaryota; Fungi; Ascomycota; Dipodascomycetes; Dipodascales; Trichomonascaceae
Source: RNAcentral